CAGGAAUCAGAGGGAGGGGAAAUCCAUCUGCUGCCUAAAUACAUCUACUGUAGCAUGUGCUAUGUACAGAAACAUCCUCAUGUGCUACUUAUCGACAUACUUCAACUGGAACAAUACGACUCAUCUGAAACACUAAAUAAACAAAGAGAUGCUUUGAUCAGUCAUCCUCAAGAUGCCAGCCAAAAUCUACAUCAACUCUCAAGCAUAUUUCAUUGUAUUUUUUUGCACUCUGAUUUUUGAAGGAAAGCAAGAUCUUGAUAUUUUUUGACUGACAAGACAUUAAUAUAAUAUACCCCACCAUGGCAAAAAUUGGACUGAUAGUUUUACGCAUAGUUCAACUGUUCCUUAUGUGUCUCACGUUUAGUCUGGCAAUUCAUAAUGGAGGGUUGGACACAGCCCGUGGUUUGUUUCUUACCUGCUGGAUCCUCAGUUUCUUUGGUACCCUGAUUGUCUUGAUUACAUCUUUCUUUAAGGAUUGGUUCACUAUCUUCUGGCCCAACGUCUCUGUGACAGUUGCUGGAUUUGCUUUUCUCCUCUGCCUGUCUGCAACAAUUGGAUUCUGCAGCAUCUACCUGAGAGACUGCCCAGGUGUUACUGAAAAUGUGUAUCACCACCGGAUUGCCACUGUCAGCGUCUCCUUCCUAUCCUCCGUGAUAUACCUGUGUGAGGUGGUGAUUCUGGUCAAGUCUGAGUUAGAUGAAAAUGGCUUUGUGACUGCAAUUCUAGGCAUACUAAAGGUCCCAGAGGCCUUUGUGUCCUGUUUCAUCUUUGUAUUAAUCAGUGACAGAUCAUCUUAUGAUCAUUCCCUUCCUCUGAAGUUGUGUGUGAUGAUGUA
This is a long non-coding RNA of Sardina pilchardus (European sardine), 835 nucleotides long. RefSeq lists it as uncharacterized. The record is from RefSeq and is a predicted model, not a curated record. Lineage: Eukaryota; Metazoa; Chordata; Actinopteri; Clupeiformes; Clupeidae. The transcript is spliced from 2 exons.